GUUCAAACACCGGUUUCCGUACGAUCAUCGAAGUUAAGCAACAGCGAACCUGGUCAGUAGAUAGACGGGUGACCACCAGGGAAUACCAGGUGCUGUAAG
Acanthosepion pharaonis is the source of this 99-nucleotide non-coding RNA. NCBI's taxonomy places the organism in Eukaryota, Metazoa, Mollusca, Cephalopoda, Sepiida, Sepiidae. The record is from the annotation of a GenBank genome assembly.